This 253-nucleotide ribosomal RNA is filed under the name uncultured bacterium. Its description in RNAcentral is "partial 16S ribosomal RNA". It matches the Rfam family "Bacterial small subunit ribosomal RNA", at positions 524 to 776 of the family's 1533-position model. The record is from RNAcentral.
UACGUAGGGUGCAAGCGUUAAUCGGAAUUACUGGGCGUAAAGCGUGCGCAGGCGGUGAUGUAAGACAGUUGUGAAAUCCCCGGGCUCAACCUGGGAACUGCAUCUGUGACUGCAUCGCUGGAGUACGGCAGAGGGGGGUGGAAUUCCGCGUGUAGCAGCGAAAUGCGUAGAGAUGCGGAGGAACACCGAUGGCGAAGGCAGCCCCCUGGGCUAACACUGACGCUCAGGCACGAAAGCGUGGGGAGCAAACAGG